AGGUUUCCGUAGGUGAACCUGCGGAAGGAUCAUUGUCGAAACCUGCCCAGCAGAGCGACCCGUGAACGUGUUCAACCUCAUGGGUGCUGGGGCGUUGCUCGGUGCCUCGUGUGCCAGCUCGCCCCUCUCCCAGGCAGGGGAGCGCCCACUUGUGGGUUGUUCCCCGGCUAACCAACGAACCCCGGCGCGUAAAUGCGUCAAGGAAUAUAAACUUUAUGUGUGUGCUCUCCUAUCGCCCGGUUAGCCGGGCGUUGGAGUGGUGCCAUGUCUUAACAAUAAACGACUCUCGGCAACGGAUAUCUCGGCUCUCGCAUCGAUGAAGAACGUAGCGAAAUGCGAUACUUGGUGUGAAUUGCAGAAUCCCGUGAACCAUCGAGUUUUUGAACGCAAGUUGCGCCCGAAGCCUCCGGCUGAGGGCACGUCUGCCUGGGCGUCACGCAUCGCGUCUCCCCCAUAUCCCACCUUGGUGGAGGGGAAGGAGGAUGGUUUCCCGCGACUCACCGGUCGCGGCUGGCCUAAAAUUGGAGCCCUCGGCAUCGGGAUGCCGCGGCGAUAGGUGGUGAACAAGGCCUCGGCCAAGCAAGCAACCCGUCGCGCAUGCCGUGCCAAUGUGGGCUCGAAGGACCCUUUGUCGUUGUCUUUAAGGCAACCAAACCGUUGCGACCCCAGGUCAGGCGGGGCUACCCGCUGAAUUUAAGCAU
This 701-nucleotide unclassified non-coding RNA is filed under the name Silene saxatilis. RNAcentral describes it as "sequence contains 18S rRNA gene, ITS1, 5.8S rRNA gene, ITS2, 28S rRNA gene". The stretch from base 282 to 436 matches the Rfam family "5.8S ribosomal RNA". Lineage: Eukaryota; Viridiplantae; Streptophyta; Magnoliopsida; Caryophyllales; Caryophyllaceae. The record is from RNAcentral.